UGGGGAAUAUUGCACAAUGGGCGCAAGCCUGAUGCAGCCAUGCCGCGUGUAUGAAGAAGGCCUUCGGGUUGUAAAGUACUUUCAGCGGGGAGGAAGGCGAUAAGGUUAAUAACCUUGUCGAUUGACGUUACCCGCAGAAGAAGCACCGGCUAACUCCGUGCCAGCAGCUGCGGUAAUACGGAGGGUGCAAGCGUUAAUCGGAAUUACUGGGCGUAAAGCGCACGCAGGCGGUCUGUCAAGUCGGAUGUGAAAUCCCCGGGCUCAACCUGGGAACUGCAUUCGAAACUGGCAGGCUAGAGUCUUGUAGAGGGGGGUAGAAUUCCAGGUGUAGCGGUGAAAUGCGUAGAGAUCUGGAGGAAUACCGGUGGCGAAGGCGGCCCCCUGGACAAAGACUGACGCUCAGGUGCGAAAGCGUGGGGAGCAAACA
RNAcentral lists this ribosomal RNA (427 nucleotides) under uncultured bacterium. RNAcentral's name for it is "partial 16S ribosomal RNA". It matches the Rfam family "Bacterial small subunit ribosomal RNA", at positions 355 to 774 of the family's 1533-position model. The record is from RNAcentral.